AGUGAACGCUGGCGGUAGGCCUAACACAUGCAAGUCGAACGGCAGCACAGUAAGAGCUUGCUCUUACGGGUGGCGAGUGGCGGACGGGUGAGGAAUACAUCGGAAUCUACUUUUUCGUGAGGGAUAACGUAGGGAAACUUACGCUAAUACCGCAUACGACCUACGGGUGAAAGCAGGGGAUCUUCGGACCUUGCGCGAUUGAAUGAGCCGAUGUCGGAUUAGCUAGUUGACGGGGUAAAGGCCCACCAAGGCGACGAUCCGUAGCUGGUCUGAGAGGAUGAUCAGCCACACUGGAACUGAGACACGGUCCAGACUCCUACGGGAGGCAGCAGUGGGGAAUAUUGGACAAUGGGCGCAAGCCUGAUCCAGCCAUACCGCGUGGGUGAAGAAGGCCUUCGGGUUGUAAAGCCCUUUUGUUGGGAAAGAAAAGCAGCAGGUUAAUACCCCGCUGUUCUGACGGUACCCAAAGAAUAAGCACCGGCUAACUUCGUG
This 492-nucleotide ribosomal RNA is filed under the name uncultured bacterium. RNAcentral describes it as "partial 16S ribosomal RNA". It matches the Rfam family "Bacterial small subunit ribosomal RNA", at positions 29 to 507 of the family's 1533-position model. The record is from RNAcentral.